CCCUUAGAUGUUCUGGGCCGCACGCGCGUUACAAUGAAUCGUUCAACAGGUUUCUUCCUGAGUCGAAAGGCUUGUGUAAUCCUUUAAAUACGGUUCGUGCUAGGGAUAGAUUUUUGCAAUUAUUAAUCUUGAACGAGGAAUAUUUAGUAAACGCAGGUCAUCAGCCUGCAUUGAUUACGUCCCUGCCCUUUGUACACACCGCCCGUCGCACCAACCGAUUGGAUGUUUUGUUGAAAUAUGUGGAUGCUUGUUGGGUGAAUUCAUUUUUGCUUGAUAGACAGAAACGUAUUAAAACUGAAUAUCUAGAGGAUGGUGAAGUCGUAACA
Molecule: ribosomal RNA, 326 nt
Filed under: uncultured eukaryote
Lineage: Eukaryota
Description: partial 18S ribosomal RNA
Rfam family: Eukaryotic small subunit ribosomal RNA
Source: RNAcentral